UGGCUGGAACGGCCGCCAAGUGCCCCCCCCACCCCCCAAUGCCGUCAGCGGCUCUUCCUCACAACUUUGCAAGGGGGGGUUGUUUGCUCCCCUCCUUUGCAGCAUAGUGUCCCAGGCCACCUCCCCUCCCCGCCCUGGGUGUUUCCGACGCCACGGAGAGCGUCGCCUGAAAUGUUGUUACACAAGGCGCCGGGGCCUUAUGCAAGGAGAGCGAGGGAGAGACGGAAGGAUGCUGAAGACUAUAAAACAAGCCCUCUUCUCUACUGGGCUGGAGAUGCCCAAAUGGACAGCCCUGCCAAACCAGGUGACCAGCGUUUAUGGUUGUUGUUGUUUUUAAUGACUGGAAGGUGACUUUCCGCUUAAUCCUUGAUCGCGUCCAGUAAGUGGAAGGGGAAGAGAUUUGCACACAUGCAUACACAUGUCCCUGAGCGGAGUCCUAAACACAAAUUGCUUGACUAAAUAUGUGAUCGAAUGGGCGACACCUAAGCAGGGGUUCAUUAUGUAUGAGAGUUCCCUAUUGCAGCUGGAAAUAUCACUGUUGCCAAAAAGUUUAAAUUUUGUGUUCAGCAAGACUUCACUGGAAGAUGGAAGAACUAAUGCAAGUAUCCCAGGGAAAAUAACAUGAAAACAUCCAACAGACAUAAUUUAAUAUAGCAUUGCCCCCUCCCCUGGGUAUUAUCCUAAGCCUCUCUGUUGACUCCACAUUUUGUCUAUGUAUUGACGUAUGUAGUAGGUGGAUGUAAAGGGUUUUUUAAAUGCACAAGGAGUGCUUUGAAAGCAAAGUUAUGAGGUACUGUGGUUGAGUAAUGCAACAGUGUAAAUGAGUUUGAUUAACCUAUUAUUAUUUUUGAAAAUACCUUCAGAUUGCAAUUUAAAUCUAUGUCAUUGAUUAAGGAUAACCUUGCAUUACUGAGAGAACCUGAAGUUUGGACUCUGUUAACAUGGACACCAUGCAUUUUUUCUUGGUAAAAAUAAAUAUUUACAAAUA
Podarcis muralis (Common wall lizard) is the source of this 988-nucleotide non-coding RNA. NCBI's taxonomy places the organism in Eukaryota, Metazoa, Chordata, Lepidosauria, Squamata, Lacertidae. The record is from RefSeq and is a predicted model, not a curated record.